CAGAAAAUAGUUUAAAAUAAAAUAUUAAAUUUGGAGUUUAAAGAUUUCUUAUUUUCUGA
Molecule: transfer RNA, 59 nt
Filed under: Buthus occitanus (common European scorpion)
Lineage: Eukaryota; Metazoa; Arthropoda; Arachnida; Scorpiones; Buthidae
Description: tRNA-Pro
Source: RNAcentral